RNAcentral lists this unclassified non-coding RNA (187 nucleotides) under uncultured Russulaceae. RNAcentral describes it as "sequence contains ITS1". The record is from RNAcentral. Lineage: Eukaryota; Fungi; Basidiomycota; Agaricomycetes; Russulales; Russulaceae.
UCGUAUAACGGAGGUGCCGGGGCUGUCGCUGACCCCCCAAAGGUCGUGCACGCCUGAGCGCUUUUACACAAUCCAUCUCACCCCUUGUGCAUCACUGCGUGGGUCCCCCCUUUGCGGGGAGGGGCCUGCGUUUCCACAUAAAACUCGAAUGUAAUGAAAUUUAUUGUCGUGCGCAAGCACUAAUGUA